This 253-nucleotide ribosomal RNA is filed under the name uncultured prokaryote. Its description in RNAcentral is "partial 16S ribosomal RNA". It matches the Rfam family "Bacterial small subunit ribosomal RNA", at positions 525 to 777 of the family's 1533-position model. The record is from RNAcentral.
ACGGAGGGGGCUAGCGUUGUUCGGAAUUACUGGGCGUAAAGCGCACGUAGGCGGCUUUGUAAGUUAGAGGUGAAAGCCCGGAGCUCAACUCCGGAAAUGCCUUUAAGACUGCAUCGCUAGAACGUUGGAGAGGUAAGUGGAAUUCCGAGUGUAGAGGUGAAAUUCGUAGAUAUUCGGAAGAACACCGGUGGCGAAGGCGGCAUCCUGGACCGAGAUCGACGCUGAGGCGCGAAAGCUAGGGGAGCAAACAGGA